Molecule: transfer RNA, 87 nt
Filed under: Pseudomonadota bacterium
Lineage: Bacteria; Pseudomonadati; Pseudomonadota
Also listed under: 3 other names
Description: tRNA-Leu
Rfam family: tRNA
About the family: Transfer RNA (tRNA) molecules are approximately 80 nucleotides in length. Their secondary structure includes four short double-helical elements and three loops (D, anti-codon, and T loops). Further hydrogen bonds mediate the characteristic L-shaped molecular structure. tRNAs have two regions of fundamental functional importance: the anti-codon, which is responsible for specific mRNA codon recognition, and the 3' end, to which the tRNAs corresponding amino acid is attached (by aminoacyl-tRNA synthetases). tRNAs cope with the degeneracy of the genetic code in two manners: having more than one tRNA (with a specific anti-codon) for a particular amino acid; and 'wobble' base-pairing, i.e. permitting non-standard base-pairing at the 3rd anti-codon position.
Source: RNAcentral
GCCCGGGUGGCGGAAAUGGCAGACGCGCCAGACUAAGGAUCUGGUCCCAGAAAUGGGGUAGGAGUUCAAUUCUCCUCCCGGGCACCA